This 335-nucleotide unclassified non-coding RNA is filed under the name soil metagenome. Its description in RNAcentral is "partial contains 5.8S ribosomal RNA, internal transcribed spacer 2, and large subunit ribosomal RNA". The stretch from base 1 to 120 matches the Rfam family "5.8S ribosomal RNA", at positions 35 to 154 of the family's 154-position model. The record is from RNAcentral.
GAUGAAGAACGUAGCGAAAUGCGAUAAGUAAUGUGAAUUGCAGAAUUCAGUGAAUCAUCGAAUCUUUGAACGCACAUUGCGCCCGCCAGUAUUCUGGCGGGCAUGCCUGUUCGAGCGUCAUUUCAACCAUCAAGCCCCCGGCUUGUGUUGGGGACCUGCGGCUGCCGCAGGCCCUGAAAACCAGUGGCGGGCUCGCUAGUCACUCCGAGCGUAGUAGUUACAUCUCGCUCAGGGCGUGCUGCGGGUUCCGGCCGUUAAAAGCCUUAUUUACCCAAGGUUGACCUCGGAUCAGGUAGGAAGACCCGCUGAACUUAAGCAUAUCAAUAAGCGGAGGU